RNAcentral lists this ribosomal RNA (500 nucleotides) under uncultured bacterium. RNAcentral describes it as "partial 16S ribosomal RNA". It matches the Rfam family "Bacterial small subunit ribosomal RNA", at positions 30 to 523 of the family's 1533-position model. The record is from RNAcentral.
AUUGAACGCUGGCGGCAUGCCUUACACAUGCAAGUCGAACGGCAGCACGGGAGCAAUCCUGGUGGCGAGUGGCGAACGGGUGAGUAAAGUAUCGGAACGUGCCCAGUCGUGGGGGAUAACGUAGCGAAAGUUACGCUAAUACCGCAUACGAUCUAUGGAUGAAAGCGGGGGAUCGCAAGACCUCGCGCGAUUGGAUCGGCCGAUAUCAGAUUAGGUAGCUGGUGGGGUAAAGGCUCACCAAGCCGACGAUCUGUAGCUGGUCUGAGAGGACGACCAGCCACACUGGGACUGAGACACGGCCCAGACUCCUACGGGAGGCAGCAGUGGGGAAUUUUGGACAAUGGGCGAAAGCCUGAUCCAGCCAUGCCGCGUGCAGGAUGAAGGUCUUCGGGUUGUAAACUGCUUUUGUACGGAACGAAAAGGUUUGGCCUAAUAAGCUGAGCUCAUGACGGUACCGUAAGAAUAAGCACCGGCUAACUACGUGCCAGCCGCCGCCGUAA